Molecule: ribosomal RNA, 494 nt
Filed under: uncultured bacterium
Lineage: Bacteria
Description: bacterial SSU rRNA
Rfam family: Bacterial small subunit ribosomal RNA
Source: RNAcentral
AUGGCUACAGGACGAACGCUGGCGGCGUGCUUAACACAUGCAAGUCGAACGAGAAUUAAGGAAGGGUAACCCGAGAUAAUUCGAGUGGCGGACGGGUGAGUAACGCGUGAGGAACCUGUCUUAUACAGGGGGAUAACGCACCGAAAGGUGUGCUAAUACCGCAUAAGACCACGAGACCGCAUGGUAUUGAGGUCAAAGGAGCAAUCCGGUAUAAGGUGGACUCGCGUCUGAUUAGAUAGUUGGUGAGGUAACGGCCCACCAAGUCAACGAUCAGUAGCCGACCUGAGAGGGUGAUCGGCCACAUUGGAACUGAGAGACGGUCCAAACUCCUACGGGAGGCAGCAGUGGGGAAUAUUGGGCAAUGGGCGCAAAGCCUGACCCAGCAACGCCGCGUGAGGGAAGAAGGUUUUCGGAUUGUAAACCUCUGUCCUCAAUGAAAAGCAGAAGGUGGUAAUUGAGGAGGAAGCCCCGGCUAACUACGUGCCAGCAGCGGC